GUUAGCGGCGGACGGGUGAGUAACACGUGGGUAACCUGCCUGUAAGACUGGGAUAACUCCGGGAAACCGGAGCUAAUACCGGAUAGUUCCUUGAACCGCAUGGUUCAAGGAUGAAAGACGGNUUUCGGCUGUCACUUACAGAUGGACCCGCGGCGCAUUAGCUAGUUGGUGAGGUAACGGCUCACCAAGGCGACGAUGCGUAGCCGACCUGAGAGGGUGAUCGGCCACACUGGGACUGAGACACGGCCCAGACUCCUACGGGAGGCAGCAGUAGGGAAUCUUCCGCAAUGGACGAAAGUCUGACGGAGCAACGCCCGCGUGAGUGAUGAAGGUUUUUCGGAUCGUAAAAGCUCUGUUGUUAGGGAAAGAACAAGUGCAAAGAGUAACUGCUUGCACCUUUGACGGUACCCUAACCAGAAAGCCACGGCUAACUACGUGCCCAGCAAGCCCGCGGUUAAAUACGUAAGGUGGGCCAAGCCGGUUUGUUCCCGGAAAUUUA
This 499-nucleotide ribosomal RNA is filed under the name Bacillus sp. BNJ_PKC_18. Its description in RNAcentral is "bacterial SSU rRNA". It matches the Rfam family "Bacterial small subunit ribosomal RNA", at positions 91 to 539 of the family's 1533-position model. The record is from RNAcentral. Lineage: Bacteria; Bacillati; Bacillota; Bacilli; Caryophanales; Bacillaceae.